This 468-nucleotide ribosomal RNA is filed under the name uncultured bacterium. RNAcentral's name for it is "partial 16S ribosomal RNA". It matches the Rfam family "Bacterial small subunit ribosomal RNA", at positions 28 to 507 of the family's 1533-position model. The record is from RNAcentral.
GACGAACGCUGGCGGCGUGCUUAACACAUGCAAGUCGAACGGAAAGGCCCUGCUUUUGGGGGGUGCUCUACUUGCGAACGGGUGAGUAACACGUGAGUAAGCUGCCCUUGACUUUGGGAUAACUUCAAGAAACUGGGGCUAAUACCGGAUAGGAGCUCCUGCUGCAUGGUGGGGCUUGGAAAGUUUCGGCGGUUGGGGAUGGACUCGCGGCUUAUCAGCUUGUUGGUGGGGUAGUGGCUUACCAUGGCUUUGACGGGUAGCCGGCCUGAGAGGCUCACCGGCCAAAUUGGGAUUGAACUACGGCCCGGACUCGUCCGGGACGCAGGAGUGGAGAAUAGUGCAUAAUGGGAUGAACGCUGAUGUAGCAACGCCGUGUGGGGGGUGACGGCCGUCGCUUUGUAAACCGAUUUCGCCUGUCACGAGGUGUGAGUGACGGUAAUGGGUAAAGAAGCACCGGCUAACUACGUG